Molecule: non-coding RNA, 1985 nt
Organism: Nelumbo nucifera (sacred lotus)
Lineage: Eukaryota; Viridiplantae; Streptophyta; Magnoliopsida; Proteales; Nelumbonaceae
Source: RefSeq, a predicted model, not a curated record
ACUCGAUUGAAAUUGAAUCAAGUCAAACUUUUCACGAAUCCAAACUCGAAUAGCUCAUAAAAAGCUCAGAUCAUGGCCACCCCUACUCUACAAGAGCCCCUAGAAUUGUAGCAUUCGAAGGUCUUAGAUACUUUAAUUUCCUUUAUUCCGACAAAGGCCCUUUGAACUAUCACCUGGGUUCUUCUCAAGGCUAUGUUGAGCCUCCCGUAAAGAAUAAGAACAAACCAACUAGGUCCAAAAAAGUUGAGUACCUGUAACAAGAUCAAUGGGCCUGGGCCUGGGCCUUUGCCCUCUGGGCGCUGGAUGACCCAUCUACGGAUCGGAUAGUGGGACCUUCAGGCUUCAGCCUUGUGUUUUCAAAACAUGAAGAACGAGGGACUCGUCGAAAUGUCGAGUUGUCGUCCAAAUUAAAAUGAUGAACACUCCCUGACUAGUGACGACGAUUGUCAUCAACUUAAAGUAAAGUAAGAAAUCAGAAAGAAAGCAGCAAUAGAAGAGAAAUGGUGUGGGUGCAUCAUCAUCUUCGCCGAUUGAAAUCAACUCGUCUAUGGGGAGGUGCAUUCUUGUGUUGGGUCUGUUUAAUGCUGACUACACCCAAAAUCCCUCACUCUCCCAAACACCACGUUUUCGCUGACAUGCGCAAUUUCCUAGGAGUUCCCAACACCUUGAAUGUGAUAUCAAAUUUUCCGUUUUUGGUUGUUGGUGUUCUGGGUCUAGUCCUCUGUCUUCAAGGAAGUCUUUUCGCCAUAAGUUUGCGGGGGGAGGUUUGGGGUUGGGCUUUCUUCUAUGCUGGAGUUACGGCUAUGGCUUUCGGGUCUGCUUAUUAUCAUCUAAAGCCUGAUGAUGAUCGAGUUCUAUGGGACCGACUUCCGAUGAUGGUCGCAUAUGCUUCGCUUUUUUCUAGUUUUAUAAUUGAGAGAGUGGGAGAACGGGUUGGGCUAAUAUCCCUGUUUUUGCUCCUGUUGAUGUCUCUUGCUAGCAUUGCUUAUGAAAGGAGUUUCAAUGAUCUCCGGUUGUGCAUGAUGUUCCACUUGAUUCCAUGCAUAGCAAUUCCAACCAUGACAUUUGUAUUCCCUCCAAAGUACACCCAUUCAAGAUAUUGGCUUUGGGCGGCAGGGGUUUACCUUCUGGCAAAAUUCGAAGGCAUUGUUGACAGGAAGAUUUAUGGAUCAAACCAUUACAUCAUCAGUGGGCAUUCCUUGGAGCAUCUAUGUUUAGUUAUGAUUCCUGUUUUGCUCAGCAUGAUGCUUAUUUACAGAAGCAUUAAAAUUCCAAGGUUGGGUGAGCUUAAAGAAUGGCCAUGAAAUGAACAGAGGAGACUGAGACCAGGUCCAUGGGAAACUUAGAGAGAAGCAAAAGAGGUGUCAUUGCCAGCAGUAGAAUGUAAAACAGGAAUGGCGAUUUCUAUCCAACUACAAGAAUUAAUGAUGAUGUGAUCUAACACGAAAGUUGUGAUCAAUUGAUUGGGGUGUAGUGUCUGAUCAAGAACUUGAAACAUGGGGUUGUUUUUGGAAUUUGGUUGUUAAAACUUGGAGUUGAGCUGAGUCGCAGAACGAGAGAGAGGGAUUUCGAGGGACAAGAUGUUUUUGGUUGUGCCUGGCAGUUGAUUCAUUGCCGUUGCCAGUAGAUUUCACGUCACAAACGCCGGUUUGCAAUGAGGUCUCCGGCGGGAUGCUCAAUGGAGAAGAGGAGAAAAUGGGAGGGACUUUGAAAUGGGAUGCUCAACGGAGAAGAGGAGAACCAGAUUCCUUCAAUUAACAUGCAAACUCCGGUUGAGCUGGUUUACGCUUCGGGUUCACAGAAUGCGAGCUCGCUGGGAACCUGGGGCCGCGUCCAAGUAAGGUGGAUUUCAAAUAAGGUACAUAUGUAUGGUCGUUAUACCUACUUUGCGUUUCCAGUAAUAAAAAAUAGGGAUAAUUACUUAAUACUGAGGUUUGAAGAAAUUACUUAUCAUGUUGACUUUUCAAACAUUGGUUGUAACGGAA